UUUUAAGAAAGGUCAUGCUCAACUCAACUGAGUCUUGAUCCCAAACUAGUUAGGUUGACUAUAUGGAUCUUUUUCCUUCACUCCACCAGUUUAAAGGCUACAUCUUUAGGAGGUCUGGGGCUGCUAUGUUCUUCCUAACUGCUUCCCCAAUCUCAUCUUAGUGCUGCCCCUCCCUUCUGUACUGGAAUAUUUGCUAGUGAUCUAGUCUAUGAUGCACAUGUCUAAACCAUCUCAAUCUCCCUUCUUUCAUUGUUUCCUCAAAAGGCACUGCUUUACUUUCCUAUGGAUGUAUUCAUUCCUUAUCUAAUCCAUUUUUAUAUUUAUAUGCAUCUGUGUUAACAUCAUCAUUGCUAAAGCACUGAUCUUUUAUGCAUAUUGUGUUUUACCACCCAACAUUCACUGCCAUGUACUGGUUGAUUCCUGGUCCUAUAAAACUUACCCUUGAACUUGGUGGUUAUUUUGCAAUCAUAUAAGACUCUUGUUACACUCUGCCACUUCAUCCAUCCUGCUGUAAUUUUAUUAUUGACAUCCUUCCUACUUCCCUCAUUUUCUUUGUAGGAUUAAAUCUAGAUAUUUGAAAUGUGCGCUUUGUGGCACCUCUGCUGCAUCCAAGCGAACCCUGCAUUGAUCACUU
RNAcentral lists this unclassified non-coding RNA (634 nucleotides) under Hevea brasiliensis (rubber tree). Lineage: Eukaryota; Viridiplantae; Streptophyta; Magnoliopsida; Malpighiales; Euphorbiaceae. The record is from RNAcentral.